Molecule: unclassified non-coding RNA, 832 nt
Filed under: Hevea brasiliensis (rubber tree)
Lineage: Eukaryota; Viridiplantae; Streptophyta; Magnoliopsida; Malpighiales; Euphorbiaceae
Source: RNAcentral
AUUUAAACCUCCUAAGGUACUUAACUGACUUUCGAUGCUUCAAGUAAAUGGCUGGUAGUAUAUAUUCAUGGAGACAUUAUUUCCUCCUAUUCAAGCGGUUUUAGUUUUUAUUUUCUUUUUAAUUUCUUUUCUCUUUUUUUUAUACUGGCUUUCAUGUAUGGGAAAUUUUCUAAUUUAGUAUCUUUGCGUUUUUGGAUUAUCCAGUAUCACAAAUCUCUAAAGUUUUGAUAUCAUCUAAUUCAACAUUCUGUUAUGGAAAGCUUUUACUCCUCCCAAUCAUGAUAAUCAACUUGAAUUUGGUAGUUUUUUAUUUGAGUUAUGACCACUAUUAUUAAAGGCGUGCCUUAGGUUUGUUUAAAUUUGGAGAGUUGGUCAAAUUACAAUUUAAUUCAUUUUAAUUCGGGCUUAUAUAAGUGAUUAGAUUGCUUUACACAUCAAAAUGACUAAUCAAGUCAAUGUUGUAACCCAACCACUUAUAUAUUGCCAUUUUUACUUCAUAUUCUUUCAAUGUGAGAUUCUCAACAACUCUAGCCACAAGCUGUGUUCCACGCCGCUCCCUUUAAGAGAAACAAAGCGUUGUGUGUCCUCAACAGUUAAAAUUUUAAUUACAUUCUCAAAUGGGCAUAGAAGCAUUAAAGUCAAACAUUUGCUCAAAAAGAUGAUAUCUAAAGGCACAGAUGAAAAUUGAAUGUUAAAGAUUUGCGAAUAUUGGAUCCUUGCUCAUGAUCAAGUCAUUGUUGGAAGUUUAUUCACAUGAUAAUUUUUAGAUAGAAAAACCGAUAAAAGCUGAUGCAAGGAUUAGCGAUUACCUGGGCAUGUAUCAGUUGGUGUG